This is a long non-coding RNA of Conger conger (European conger), 472 nucleotides long. RefSeq lists it as uncharacterized. The transcript is spliced from 4 exons. The record is from RefSeq and is a predicted model, not a curated record. Lineage: Eukaryota; Metazoa; Chordata; Actinopteri; Anguilliformes; Congridae.
UCCAGUUAUCCCUACUUUUGGGCGCUCUGUAAUGACGUAAGACUUUGUAUAAAUAGAAUCCAAUCGCUUCGUCAUAUCCUCUUGGAAUUGGUGCCAUCUUGUGAAGACACAGCACCACGACAUGAGGGCGAAGUGGCGAAAGAAGCGUAUGCGCAGGCUGAAGCGCAAGAGGCGAAAGAUGAGGCAGAGGUCAAAGUAGACUGCCCCCCCUCUCGGCUGCAGCUGCAACCUGCCCCGAGCACAGCCGGAGUUCCCAGAGGGCCUGAAACAGACCCCAAACCGCUGCACCAGCCUCUAAUCCUACUACUCCACUGUGGCCAGGGGAGGCCCACCUGAGCCUGCUGUCCCCUGAGAGGCUGAAGUGUUGCCUGAGGCUGUUUCUUUGGGCUGCUCUGGACUCUGGUUACCCACCCACCCUCAAACUGCAGUUGCUUUGUAUAAACUACCCCAAUAAACUUGUUUUUUAACCUCA